This 639-nucleotide small RNA is filed under the name Vigna angularis var. angularis. Its description in RNAcentral is "Non-protein coding transcript". Lineage: Eukaryota; Viridiplantae; Streptophyta; Magnoliopsida; Fabales; Fabaceae. The record is from RNAcentral.
GCCGGUUCAUCCUUGGUGUGUCUAAGGAGGUGUUCGGAAGAGAAUCAUCCUUCGUGAAGUAUUCGGAGGAGGUGUUCAUCCUUUGUGAAGACUCAAAGGAGGUGUAGUUUCAUCUCUUGUGGUAUCAAGAGAGGUGUUUUCUAAACUUGUUAGGGCCUGGCGAGUGUAUGAGAGAAGAAGAUAUAGGAGGAACAGGGGGGAGGACGAACGUCUUGAGCAAGAGGGGAACCGUGCGGUAGCGAACGAGCGUUACGAGCAGGAGAUGACAAGGAGCGAGGACGAACGCCCUCAGCGAGAGGAGGACGAACGAGCGAGGCGACAAGGAGUGAGGACGAGCGCCCAGGGCGAGCAGGGCGCGGACGAACGUCCUCAAUAAGGACGAGCGUCCAUAAAUAAGGACGAGCGUCCUGAACAAAGGGGGGGACGACAACGUACGAUUAAAUGACAAGCGGAGGGACAGGCGGAUUUUCAUGGGAAGUUAGCAGAGUAAUUACAGUAUUAAAUACAAUAAAUAAGGAUAGAAUGAUUCUGUCCAGAUAAUGUUAAUAAAGGGGCAAUUACUACUAUCAUUCCCUACCUUUUCUGGAAGGCAUGAUUAGUAUUAAUAAGGGAGGCACGUAGAAUUAGGGUAUGUUUUUU